This is a non-coding RNA of Marasmius sp. AFHP31, 87 nucleotides long. NCBI's taxonomy places the organism in Eukaryota, Fungi, Basidiomycota, Agaricomycetes, Agaricales, Marasmiaceae. The record is from the annotation of a GenBank genome assembly.
GGCCUGAUGGUCUAGUAGUAUGAUUCCUUGUUAGGGUGCAAAAGCUUUCUAUCGAGGAGGUCCCGGGUUCAAUUCCCGGUCAGGCCC